GGGGAUUUAGCUCAGUGGUAGAGCGCUUGCCUAGCAUGUGCAAGGCCCUGGGUUCGGUCCCCAGCUCCG
Molecule: non-coding RNA, 69 nt
Organism: Rattus norvegicus (Norway rat)
Lineage: Eukaryota; Metazoa; Chordata; Mammalia; Rodentia; Muridae
Source: Rfam